AGAGUUUGAUCAUGGCUCAGGACGAACGCUGGCGGCGCGCCUAACACAUGCAAGUCGAACGAGAGAGAAGGAGCUUGCUUCUUCGAUCGAGUGGCGAACGGGUGAGUAACGCGUGAGGAACCCUGCCUCAAAGAGGGGGACAACAGUUGGAAACGACUGCUAAUACCGCAUAAGCCCACGGGUCGGCAUCGACCUGAGGGAAAAGGAGUGAUCCACUUUGAGAUGGCCUCGCGUCCGAUUAGCUAGUUGGUGAGGUAACGGCCACCAAGGCGACGAUCGGUAGCCGGACUGAGAGGUUGAACGGCCACAUUGGGACUGAGACACGGCCCAGACUCCUACGGGAGGCA
RNAcentral lists this ribosomal RNA (347 nucleotides) under uncultured bacterium. RNAcentral's name for it is "bacterial SSU rRNA". It matches the Rfam family "Bacterial small subunit ribosomal RNA", at positions 8 to 350 of the family's 1533-position model. The record is from RNAcentral.